This is a long non-coding RNA of Phyllopteryx taeniolatus (common seadragon), 2038 nucleotides long. RefSeq lists it as uncharacterized. Lineage: Eukaryota; Metazoa; Chordata; Actinopteri; Syngnathiformes; Syngnathidae. The record is from RefSeq and is a predicted model, not a curated record. The transcript has 3 exons.
CCAGCUGUGCGCGCCUUGGCCUCUUAGGGGCAGUGUCGUGCGAUACAUGCACGAAGCCACACCUUUGCAGGAAAUAAAGAAUAGAAGAAGAACGUCGUGCUAAAACAUUCAUUUAACUAGUUUUUCACAGAUUAUGAAGUAUAUAUGCCUCUGAAGAUUAGGUGACCCCGAUUUUCGAUCACGCGAUCGGAUCGUGGCAACCCUAAUACUGAAUGAGUGGGAGUUGAACCAGCACUCCCUGCACAAGUCAGGGGCUCAGCACAGUAAACCCCUAAUUUGCCAUUCAAACAGCUCAGUGGGAGUGAGUGACACAUGCUAAUUGUGUCACUGGCCGACAGGGAAGAAAGGAGUGAGCCUGAUGAACUUGCCUGCCUUGUAACAAGUGAUCGCACAAAAGCACGCCAUUGGCUGAAUUUACACUGCAGGUCCAAUAUAUGACUGUGAGUAUUGUUGUAUGCUCCGUAUGUAAGGGCUGCUGCGCCGUGUGUGUUAAAUUUGCAUUUGUUUGCUAGUUUCCGUAAGCCCCUCAAUGGCAUUUGACAUUAUAUGUCAGCAUUAAGCUAGCAGACUUUUGUUAGGAGAAAUUAUAUGGUUUGGUUUCACAGUAUGGUGGUUAAAUACGUUUAAUUCUCUUUUUUGACGUUUUGGUUUUCCAGUAAACGUCAACUAAGUGUUAUAACAACCUUUCCUUAAUCUUUGUGGAAAAUGUCAUCGGGUUAAGGCGAUGAAACCUUUUCAGUUUCCUUUUCAAACAUAGGAAAAGGCAGUACUGCUUAAAAUGAAAGUUUAUUAAAAUGACUUCCUGAAACUACUGUUUUCCAUUUUCCAUAAUUAUUUCAACCAGGUUGUUGCCAAUGGUGAGGUUCGCUUAAGAGGCUAAACUUGUGUUGAUGUGGAAACUCACUGCUUCCAGUUGUCUUCCUUAAUUGUGACGGUGGCAUUUUAUUUUCUGAAGGCGUAAAUUAUGGGCUACGAUAAUAACUACUAUGAUGUUGUCUAAUAUUAACAUCGUAAUUUAUUGUUUUGUAUCAGAACGGUAACUUAUUCGCGAUCCUUAUCUUAUUCUCGUUUGGAUAGUGUUUUAUUUUACUCUCUCUGCUUCUUACUCUGGAGCGGAGAGUCGGUAAACUUCAUUGGUGGCCUGUUGCUUUGAAUAUUACUGCCGUACAGGAUUAUGGGGAACAUCCUUUUGUUGAGGUUGGUCAGGAGAAACCUAUGUUCAAGGUGGCUAAAAGGUUGCAUUAAGGCACCGUUCCUAAGUAUUUUUAAUUCAAACAACAUCUACUGUCCAAGUGCUCCCGGGUCAUCUCGCUCAGAUAGAAAGGAAAGGAAAGUUCCUUAGCGAAAACCAGACCGAAGAUGCCCUUUGCAUGUGAUUUGGAGAACGAUGUGAGCGAGAGAGUGAGAACUGGUACGAAGGAGUAUUUUAAAGUGUUUUAAUAAGCGUAAAUGUGUUUCAAGUGUGUGAGGGUGACAAACAAACUAUGACAAAACAACAACAACAAAUUAUAUGGUCUUUGUAUUGCAGAGUUUCAGCUAUUGGGAGUGGGUCUGGAACGUAUCCCCCGUGAUAAACGGGGAUUCAUUGAAUUUUGAUGACGUCAAGGUUGCAGUGGCGGGGUAAAUCACGUCUAUGUUUACGCUGCACUCCAAUUGGCAGACAUCCAAUACCAGUAUUGCAUUUUUUUAUUUUUUGUUUACACAUUUGGAAGAGGCCUAAUUCUGAUAUGAAGAUAACCAUUCCUUGCGGGUGGGUUUCUGUUCAUGCUGCCAUGACUCUUAUCCCAAAUGUGCCGAUUGAGAGGAAAUCAGCAGAAUUGUGUGACUUGAAGCAUGCAGUGUAAAUCUGGCCUUAAUGAGGUAAAUGCAUCUGUAGUUCUCCAAUAUGUUCAAAGCGCCUGUUUUAUACCACAUCAUGUGGACUAUAGUGGAUUUCUUGAGCGCUAUUGUUUGUCUCGGCAUUGUUGCGAAAAACAAGGACAUAGAGUAUUGUACGCCGCAGCACUGGGGAUAUUUUGUUUCCCAUCAAGGUGCCAAG